This 492-nucleotide ribosomal RNA is filed under the name uncultured bacterium. Its description in RNAcentral is "partial 16S ribosomal RNA". It matches the Rfam family "Bacterial small subunit ribosomal RNA", at positions 29 to 507 of the family's 1533-position model. The record is from RNAcentral.
AGUGAACGCUGGCGGUAGGCCUAACACAUGCAAGUCGAACGGCAGCACAGUAAGAGCUUGCUCUUACGGGUGGCGAGUGGCGGACGGGUGAGGAAUACAUCGGAAUCUACUUUUUCGUGGGGGAUAACGUAGGGAAACUUACGCUAAUACCGCAUAUGACCUACGGGUGAAAGCAGGGGAUCUUCGGACCUUUCGCGAUUGAAUGAGCCGAUGUCGGAUUAGCUAGUUGGCGGGGUAAAGGCCCACCAAGGCGACGAUCCGUAGCUGGUCUGAGAGGAUGAUCAGCCACACUGGAACUGAGACACGGUCCAGACUCCUACGGGAGGCAGCAGUGGGGAAUAUUGGGCAAUGGGCGCAAGCCUGAUCCAGCCAUACCGCGUGGGUGAAGAAGGCCUUCGGGUUGUAAAGCCCUUUUGUUGGGAAAGAAAAGCAGCAGGUUAAUACCCCGCUGUUCUGACGGUACCCAAAGAAGAAGCACCGGCUAACUACGUG